ACACAUGCAAGUCGAGGGGCAGCGAGGGAGUGGCAACACUUCUGUCGGCGACCGGCGCACGGGUGAGUAACGCGUAUGCAACCUGCCCUUCACAGGGGGAUAACCGGGAGAAAUUCCGACUAAUACCGCAUACGUCCUCCGGGGGCAUCCCCGGGGGAUGAAAGAAUUAUCGGUGAAGGAUGGGCAUGCGUGAUAUUAGGUAGUUGGCGGGGCAACGGCCCACCAAGCCCACGAUAUCUAGGGGUUCUGAGAGGAAGGUCCCCCACAUUGGUACUGAGACACGGACCAAACUCCUACGGGAGGCAGCAGUGAGGAAUAUUGGUCAAUGGACGAGAGUCUGAACCAGCCAAGUCGCGUGAAGGAAGACGGAUCUAUGGUUUGUAAACUUCUUUAGUGCGGGAACAAAGCGGCGUCGUGACGCCUGAUGAGUGUACCGCAAGAAUAAGCAUCGGCUAACUCCGUGCCAGCAGCCGCGGUAAUACGGAGGAUGCGAGCGUUAUCCGGAUUUAUUGGGUUUAAAGGGAGCGCAGGCUGCGAGGCAAGUCAGCGGUCAAAUGUCGGGGCUCAACCCCGGCCUGCCGUUGAAACUGUCCUGCUA
RNAcentral lists this ribosomal RNA (598 nucleotides) under uncultured bacterium. Its description in RNAcentral is "bacterial SSU rRNA". It matches the Rfam family "Bacterial small subunit ribosomal RNA", at positions 51 to 643 of the family's 1533-position model. The record is from RNAcentral.